AGCACGCCUGACUUUGAGGUGCUUUUCUGCUGGAUGUGCUCUACCUCACUGCUUUGCCAUGAAACACUAGGGAUUUGGGGGCUGUCUCUGGGCAGCUUCCAAGGCUUUAGAGUCCCUGUGUUUUACAGGCAACCCAUGAAGCUUGUGUGGUGCCCCAGUUUUGAUGGAGAAAUAUGACCCUCACGCACUGCCUGCAGCUCAGGACAGGAUGGCCAUGUAGUCCCCCUGAACUCACCAGUACCCAAUGCGUGAAGAGUGCUGCUCCCUGCCCAGUGGAUGUGCCUUGAAGAGGGACCUUUUAUGCACACUUGUUGCUAAUCUGAAUCAAGCAAGACAAGGUGGCAGAAAAAACAAAAAUGAUGUUUCCUACAGUUACUCUGGUCUGAGCUCUGUGUAGGAAGGGACUUGGCCUGACAAGAGUCAAGCACUCAGAGAAAAUGUUAUUGAAGCAUUUCAAACUGGAGCUCUGUUGCUUUUGCUAUUCCACUUUGCAUCACAGUAUCUGGGCUAACAUGAACUGUAAAAGUGCUGUAAAAUGAGGAAGUGCUGGAGAAGAUGAAAUAUCUGGAGGAGAAACAAGGAAGCUGGAGAAAUAAGUCUGACAUAAGGACAGCUGCUUAAAGUCUAUGUUAAAUCAAAGCUCCUUCGUGAUGCAUUUCUGCACAAAGAUCUUAACAGCAGUUGGAUGUGAUUUAGUUUGAGUUUGGAGCUGUAGGUCAAUUCAUUGUGACUUGUCCACAAUGUGGCAAUUGAGGAACUCCUGUAAGACUGUCCAUGGGUUUCUGUUGAGUGGAUUGGUUGCAACAAGUAGAGUGGCACAAUGUCAGAGGGAAACAUGAACACAGGAACUAUUUCUCUACUGGAAACCCCUAUCUGGUAGCCUGAUAAAGUCUAAUUCAACUAAUUUUUCCUAAGUUGGGCAAGGAUUAGCUAUUGAACAAGAGGAACCAAGUGGGAAUGACUAACAUGUCAAAGUGUGCAGAAGUGAGAUCAUUUUCCCCGUGAGGAUAUCUUUUUUUGUGUGAUUCCUCAUCAGAAAACUAGAAGUAAAAGCAUUUUUUUCUGAACAAACCAAGAAGUAAACUGUGAUGACAUUUCCUCAUUUUCAGUUUCCUCAAAGAAACUCAUAGUCUGAUUAUUCACUCAGAGACAUAGUCAUGGAUUUCUUUGCAUUCUAGGAAGAAAAGAAAAAUUGAUAAAUAAAUAAGUAGAGUUUAUACACAUAUUUUAAUAUUCAUUCACAAACACACACAUAUUUGUUGACUGACACCAGUUGUACCUUCACCUUCAUUCGGAACACUUCUGCUUUAGUGAGGGAGCUAAUCACAGCAAUAACUACCUCUUGUAAAUCUAAGGUGGGGUAGCCCUCCAUGUUUUCAAUAGUCUAGGAUUAAAAAAAAAUUAAAAAAAAAACCCACAUAUAUUUUGUAGAAGGGUAUGUUAUUUGGAAGUGAUUUCAACUUCAUAGAGGAAAUAAGCUCUAAUUUCAGAAUUUGUCCAGACGAUCUUUGUUAGAAGAUACGAAGACUAUGCUUCCAAUCAUUCUCCUUCUGUAGAAUGCUAGAUCUCUGUUUCAUUUACUUUUACCUCUUAUUUAACCCAAAGGGGGAAAAAAAUAGUAUUCUGUCAGUAUAUAUAGUAAUGUCAAUUCCUCUUUCUAAGAUGGCAAUGACUAUUUUCUUCUGUAGCUGGGAAGAGUUAUUUGCUCCACUCCUGAAAGUCCAGGAGGGAGAGAACCGGCAUUUUUCAUAUUCAUCAGGCUCUGGCAAGCUUCUGCUUUCCCUGUGCUUUUUGUCACCUGCAUUUAUUUUACCUAAGUCUAGGUAAAACAAACAAACAAACAAACAAACAAACAAAAAACUUCCUUCAUGAGAAUUGGGAUAAGAAGCCAGAUAUUCAGGUUUUUCCUAUGUGUGCUAUGUAUCUAUAAAGUCUGUUUGAUUUGGGAGUACGUCUGUUGGUCUUCCAAAGGUCUGUUAUAUUUCUCCUUUGUAAUGCAGUGAAUAAUUCUGAGUUUGUUAUGAGCAAAGCAUCCAGUCAAGGCAAAUCCCUGACAUUAGACACAUCUCUCAGCAUUCGAAAUGUCCUGCAGUGAAACCUCAUGUAUAAUGUUGAAUGUGUUGCUGCUACCAAAUUCCAGAAGAUUCGACAACAAUUUUUUUUGUCUUUUCAAUGUGAAAAAGAUAUGGAAUCUUUUUUUACUGAUUUUUUUUUUAAUGAUUAAAUG
Gallus gallus (chicken) is the source of this 2227-nucleotide long non-coding RNA. The record is from Ensembl. Lineage: Eukaryota; Metazoa; Chordata; Aves; Galliformes; Phasianidae.